GCAUUGCUGGUGCAGCGCAGCGCGGACGCCCGAACCUGGUCAGAGCCGGAAGGCAGCAGCCAUAAGGGAUGCUUUGCGGGUGCCGUUGCCUUCCGGCAAUGCUUUU
Molecule: non-coding RNA, 106 nt
Filed under: Deinococcus radiodurans
Lineage: Bacteria; Thermotogati; Deinococcota; Deinococci; Deinococcales; Deinococcaceae
Also listed under: 1 other name
Description: 4.5S RNA from Deinococcus radiodurans (PDB 2XXA, chain G)
Rfam family: Bacterial small signal recognition particle RNA
About the family: The signal recognition particle (SRP) is a universally conserved ribonucleoprotein involved in the co-translational targeting of proteins to membranes.
Source: RNAcentral